Fukomys damarensis (Damara mole-rat) is the source of this 335-nucleotide unclassified non-coding RNA. Its record names the gene 7SK. It matches the Rfam family "7SK RNA". Rfam says of the family: 7SK was discovered as an abundant small nuclear RNA in the mid-70s but a possible function has only recently been suggested. Two independent studies have found that 7SK RNA binds the CDK9/cyclin T complex (known as elongation factor P-TEFb). The record is from Ensembl. Lineage: Eukaryota; Metazoa; Chordata; Mammalia; Rodentia; Bathyergidae.
GGAUGUGAAGGUGAUCUGGCUGAGACAUCCGUCGCCUCACUUAUCACCAGGGUUGAUUGGGCUGAUCUGGCUGGCUAGGCAGGAGUCCCCUUUCUCCCUCACUGCCCCAUGUGCGUCCCUCCAAAGCUGUACACUCAGUUGAGUAGGGUGCAGAAGACGACAUCUGACUGAGGAGGCUGGGUUCCUGGCUCAGGACACACGAGUAGGUGUGCUCUGCUGCUGGAACCUUCAAAGAGGCUCUCGGGAUUGACUUGUUGUUCUACAUUUCUGUAUGGAUUUAUUCCCAAGUGAACAUUAGAAAAAGGAAAAUUCAAAGAAAUUGACUACUCAUCUCC